AGCGGCGCAGAGCUCGCCCUUGAGCUCCGCCGCGUCGCCAAGGAGGUCCACCUCAGCACCAAGUCGACGGAGGAGACCAUCACGUCGGCGAUGUCCAAAAGUGUCGCCAGGUACGAAAACCUCCACCUGCGACCACAGGUCGAACACCUGCGCGAGGACGGGACUGUGGUGUUCGACGACGGCUCGUUCGUCGUCGCCGACGCUGUCAUCUACUGCACCGGGUACAACUACUCGUUCCCGUUCCUGGACACGAACGGGAAGGUCACCGUCGACGACAACCGCGUCGGGCCGCUGUACGAGCACGUGUUCCCGCCGGAGCUGGCGCCGUCGCUGUCGUUCGUGGGCAUCCCGGGCAAGGUGGUCCUGCCGGUGUUCAUCGAGGUGCAGGCGAGGUGGGUGGCGCAGGUGCUGUCCGGGCGGAGGACGCUGCCGUCGCCGGAGGAGAUGCAGCGCGCCGUCGAGGAGCACACCCGCGGCAUGGAGGCCGCCGGGUUGCCGAAGCGGUGGACGCAUGACAUGUUCUUGAACCUGGAACGCUGCGACGACUACGGCGAGCGCAUCUGCGGCUUCCCGCGGAUGGAACAGUGGAAGAAGGAGAUCUUUGUGUCAUCCCUCUCCGACAUGGUCGACGACAUCGAGAACUUCCGCGACGGCUACCACGACAGCGACCUCGUCCGCGACGCCCUGCGCCGGCACGGUUGGACUCCCGCCGAGGAGGACGACGACGCCCACAAAUAAAAGCACUUGGAUUGGACUCCAAUAAAUUCAGGUUAAGAUGAAGCAAACCAAAUAAAUACACGACAAUUCAACAAAAAAAAUGCUGGCCUGUCUGUCUCAAGAGGAUUUUUCAUUGUACUAAAAACUGAACCUUUUUAUUUUCGGAAUUGCUAUAAAUAUGCCGCCAUCUUUCUUCUCGGAUUACAUUCGAUUUUCUCACCAUACAAUUAGUUUAGAGAUAUGUGCGUGUCCGAAGACUGAUAAUGCCAUCGUUAAGUGCUGAUACUGUACGUUUAUGUGCAUCCCAGUCUCUAGUUAUCGCUGGCCAUUACUGUUGUAGCAGGGGGUGAACACCAUCCCCUAUACUCGGCCAAAAACUCGCAUGAUGAGGAAAGUGUUUUUGAGCUUUGCUCAAAUCAAAUUCUAAUAUGUAGCCGUUUCUGACCAAGAAUUUGCAUUCGCCCAAUAGGGCCUGUUCCAAGGAAAAUGUGUUCGAACAAGAUUACUUGCUCGAAUUGGCAUCACUAAAGGCAUUGUGUUUGAGCAGGUUCUUUGGCUAAGACAAGUGAAGUGACGAGGAGCUAAAAGAUGGGAGAGUAUUCAAGUCCAGGCACAAGUGUUCGACUCGAGCAAUCGAAGUUGAGGAAAAGUACCAUCCAGCAAAGCAUAUAUUUUAGAAAAGUGUUAUGGGAACCACGUCAACUGCUCUCACCAGUUAGCAUCAAAUGUUACUUGGGGACCACUAAAAUGUUUUAAUAUGCCCCUAAGGUCAUAAACUUUAUAAGGGUAAUAUGAUAACUUCAUGUAAGCCUGCAAUAGCAAACUAGUGAAUCUUGGGUACAUGAUAACUUCCUACGGUCAUAUUGACUUUGUACCAUCUGUAAAGUUCCUUUCUGUUAGAUGAAAUGUGUUGUUGUAUAGGACUUUAAUUACAAACGCGCGUGCGUUGCAAACGGUGAUUACUAUGUACAAUUAAAAUGUGAUUACUAUGUACAAUUAAAAUUAUAUAACUCCACUGGUGGAGAAACCAUCUUUGGUCGGUCCGGCAAAAUCCAUAAUAGUCCCGGAUCCAAAAAGAACCGGAACUAAAGAUUGUUUUUAGUCCCGGUUAUAAAAAUUUUGAUCUUUAGUCCCAGUUCAUCCCCUGUCAAAUGUGUGUCAGGAGGCCGAGGAUCUUUAGUCCCGGUUGGUGUAAAUAACCGGGACUAAAGAUCACCACUUUAGUCACGGCUGGUACUACCAACCGGGACUAAAGAUCAAGAUGAUGUUUAGUCUCGGUUGGGAGUACCAACCGGGACUAAAAUUAAACACGUAGUAUAUAAUUCCUAUCCCUUAUCCUCUCCUCCACAGUUACAACGUAGACAGAUCGAAUCUCACCCCCUCUCCUCAGAUCUAUCCUCUCUAACUCUCUUCUCCAACUCCUCCCCUCAUCCUCUCCUCCCCCUUCCUCCUCCCAUUCCCAGCCGGCCUCCCCUUCCCAUCCGGCGGGCCGGCCGGCGGCGGGGCCGCGCGCGGCGGGGCGGCGCCCGACGGGGUCGUGCCCGGCGGAGGGCGGCGGGGUGAAGGCCGGCGGAGCCGCGCCCGGCGGCGGGCGGCGGGGCUUCGGGUGGCGGCGGGCGGCGGGGCUUCGGGCGGCGGCGGGCGGCGGGGCUGCGGCCGGCGGCGGGCGGCUGGGCCGCGCCCAUCGUUCAUGGCGACCGGCGGCGGCAUUCUUUUUUUUUAAUUUGUGAUGAUUCACUGAGAUGUAUUUGACUGAGAAGUUACAAAUUUGUGAUUCAUUGUUUGGAUCUGUGAUGUAUUUGAGUAAUUUCUUAGGAUAUUGUGAUGUAUUUGAUUUGUGAGUAUAAAUAACUUUAUGAUUUGUGAUGUGGAUUUGGUGAUGUGAAUUUGGGAUGUUAGUUAGAUUUGGGGAUUGAUUUGGGGAUUUGCCUACUUGAUUCGGGAGAAAAUGAAAAGGAAAAAAGAAAAAGAAAAAGGGACCAUUUGCACUGCCGCUAUUGUCUCUUUAGUCCCGGUUGGUAACAUCAACCGGGACUAAAGAUCCCCUCUCUUUAGUCCCGGUUGGUGGUACCAACGGGGACUAAAAUACAUCUUUAGUCCCGGUUAUUUCAACCGGUCCAUCUUUAGUCCCGGAUUCUUACUCCCGGUUGGAGAACCGGGAUUAAAGGGGUUCCCAACCGAGAGUAAAGAUGGUUUCUCCACCAAUGCUCAUUGCAACGCAUGGACAUAUCGACCCUAAAAAUAGGAAAUAAAAAAAUUCUAUUUUUCUUCCGUCCUCCGACUCCAGUGCAAGCCAUGAGCUUUCCGAUGGGAAGUGCGCAGCCAGUUUCAUCAUCCGCCACGCCUAGCUCUAACUCGAUCUGUUUUUUCUAAGUACAUAGGGAAUAUAAAUAGAGGCUAUAUACCCUAGAUUUUUUUCUAAAUCCUGCACUCCUCCCGCACCUCUCAGCUCUCUCCCGCACUUCUCCCCUCCCCUCACCUAGCUCUCCUCCUCUCCCCGGUGCUGACAGCGGCGGAGGGCGUGCGGCGGCUACCGGUGGAGGAGGCGGCGGCGGCUACCGGGGGCCACCGGCGCUCCCCUUCCUCGCUCCUUCCCAGAUCUGGCCUGAGGGGGGCGGGGGUAGGACGGUGGCCACACGUGUGGCGGUGGCGGCGGCGGCGGCGGGAGGUUGCCAGCGGAGGGCCGCGACUACCGACGGGAGGCGGAGGUUGGCGGCGGGUGGUGGCGGAGGAGGGCGGCGGCCGCUCCCGGACCCUCCCUCCCUCCCAGAUCUGGCCCGAGGGGGGCGUGGGGAGGGCAGUGGCCGGCGGCGCUCCCCUCCCUCGCUCCCUCCCAGAUCUGGCCUAAGGGGGGUGGGGGGAGGGCGGUGGCCACGUGUGCGGCAGCGGCAGCGGCGGGAGGUUGGCGGUGGCAGGAGGAAGGGGGCCGUGCGCGGCGGCGUCAGAGGAGGUGGAACCAAUGGCCUGGUCGGCAUCUCGGCAUGCGCAAGGAGGAGGAAGCGGCGGUUCUGGGCACCAAUCCUCUCCCUUCCUUCGCCCCAGACGUCGGUGCCGGCGGCGCAAACAGCACCGGCCGCUCCCUUCCCAGAUCUGGACGGAAGAGGGGAGCCGGCUAGCAGCUACGGCAAAGGCGGCGCUCCCCUCGCCCUCGGACAGCAGCGCCGGACGGAGGUGGAGAGCCGUCGGCCGGAGGGGGAUGCCGACGCCGGCGGGUAGCACCGGAUUUUUCUUCUGUUUCCUCGCUUUAUUUUCGCAGUCAGGCCGCGGACCCGUUUGGAUUUUCGCAGGCGUUAGGAUAGCGGCGGAUGUCUCCCUCACCUACAAAAACUGUUUUUGGCCGCUGUAAAAACUAUUUUUCUAAGUAGUGUACCCAUCUCACUGGAAGCACGAGAGUCGAGUCCGACUCCAACAAAAACUAGAUCGGAUCUCCUUGCGUCGGGCACGCGAGCAGGAGCACGGAUGCCACGCUAGCUCCGACGCCGGCCAGGAGUGGUGCUGGGGAGGAUUUUUUUUUAUUUUUUUUAAAUUUUUAAUUUUUAAAAAUAAACCAUUUAAAAACUUAUUUUUCAAGAUCUAAACCUUUUGGCCACGCCAGCCGGACUGACAUAGCAAAACAACAUUAUCACGUCGGUCUGGUUGACGUGACAAUGCUAUUUAGCCUCAUGGGUUUGGCUGGCGUGGCACCGUUAUUUGAUCUCAUCAUUCUCGUUGCGUGGCAGGAUAAAAUUAUCACGCCCGUUGUGUGACCAAAAGGUUCAGAUUCUAAAAAUAAGUUUUAGAAUGAUUUAUUUUUAAGAUGUAAAAUAAAAAAAGUUCAAAAAUCGCUGGGGAGGCAGGCUAAUGAGGUGAUGAGGGCGGCCAGGUUGAUGAACCCGAUGAGCCGGACGUACUGGGUGCUAUGGCAGUAACACGAUGGCUCAUCCUCCGGGCAGAGAGAGAGAGAGAGAGAGAGAGAUCAGAGAGAGUCCAAGGGGAUUGAUCGGUCAUCCUCUCCUCCGUUCUGCAGCUAGCGUGAGUAGACGACCAGACAAAUUAAGUUACGAUUGUGAAUUAAUUUGUGAUUAACGAGAAGCAUCGAUCGUUCCCAAUUGAUCCAACGCGUUCAAGAUAUAUUAAUUGCCGCCGUGACCUAGGCCCUUUUUGAAAGAUUAGCACAGGGCUAAUAUUGAGAGCUAAUGUUUAGUCAUAAAUUGGUAGGAUAAACAUUAUUCUAGGGUGGUAUGUUUGGAUCCAUGGGCUAAUUCAAGACUAAAAGGUAGAGAGAGAGAGCUGCUUUUUGAUAGUCCCCACACAAAACUAGCCCCAUUAGCACCCUUUGGAGGAGCUAAUGUUUUGAGGAGGGCUAAUUCACUUUAGCCUCAAAUUAGCCCACCUGUUUGAAUCCUUAAGAGCUAAUUCAGAGCUAAAAGGUGAGGACUAGUAAUUAGCCCAUAGAACCAAACAAGAUCCUAGCAACCUAUCCACCUCGCCGCCGGCUGCCGUGAAUACGAUCGAGGUGAGAGCAGCAGCCAAUUGAUCAGCACACCACGUUGUCUACUUGCCUUUGGCUAAUUUGCCUGAUUGGAUUCGUCAGGUUAGCGUAGAGCCUUGGAGGCUACGAUGAAUAUCACUGAAUCGAUCAUGCAACCACCAGCGCCUAGCGCGUAUUGCCGAAAGAUUUAUAUUAGUUUCAAUUAUUAUUAAUAUGAUACUGUUGUACUUUUAUAACCAAUUCAUAAUUUAUAUGAAGUUAACCAUUAACGUGUUAAUCUUUUCAUUUAUCAGUUCAUCCCAGAUACCAUGUCAUCAAGUGAUAUGUACAAGGGUAUACGAUGAAACAACAAAUAAUAUAUAUUAAUUAUUACUUUGAUAUUAAUGUCUCUGUCCUAAAAUAUAGUUAUUUCUACCACAGUGCCUUGUUCUAAAAUAAAGCUAUUUUUUCACCUACCUCUUCUCAACCAAUCACAACCAUUCUUCUUGACAUGCUUUCUCUUUUCACUCAAUCACACACUUCCUCUAAUUUUCUCACAUAUUUUCUUAAUAUCCGUGUCAACUUUAAAAAUAGCUAUAUUUUAGAACGGAGGGAGUAUUAAGUGUUUCCACUUUUAGUUUUGUCCUGGCCACUCAAAUCUCUGGAUUGAGACUGAACGGGGCUACACACGUGAGAAAGGAGGACGAGUAGAGAGGUCGCUGCUACUAGACAGGGAGGCGAGCUCGUCGUGGUACGGUGACAGGGUCAUCGCGGCCCACGAAGAUGGUGAUGGCACCAGCAAGUUAGCUUGGGCUGAUGAAUUUUUAUUUUAUUUUUUUUGAACUUUUUUAAAUUUUUAUUUUAAAAAUAAACUCUUCUAAAACUUAUUUUUAAAAUUUAAACCUUGUAGCCAAGUCAGCCCAUCUGGCGAGGAAAAAUUACUAUCACGCUACUUGCUGCGGGUGUGAUAAUUUAAUCCUACCACGGCAACCAGGAUGGUGUGGUAGUAUUAUUUUGUCACAUCAGUUCAAGUUUCAUAUCUUAAGUAUUGAAAAGGUUUAUUUCAAAAAUAAAAAAAAUAUGGGUGACUAGCAGACGGUCGAGUGUGGCCAUGAAAAAGGAGGUGAGGACGACUUGACGGGUUCCUUUUUCCUUAGAUGCAUUUUAUAAGAACCUUUCCGUGCAACAUCGUUCGACCAUGUCAGCCAUCAUGACUACUACAUCGGCGCGAGGCAUACAUCAAACACUAAUACCAAAACGAUUUUUGUUUGCAGUUGAAAGGGAUUUUCGCGUGCGGAUCUCACGCCCGUCUACAACAGGGUGCCUGUGAAAAUAUGAAACUUUUCGUGCGGGUGACGCACCAGCACACGAAAAAUCAGAUUUUUCGUAUGCGGGUGGCUUAUGUCGCCCACACGCAACAAAAAAAAAGACCCCCAAAAAAAUAAAAUAAAAAACAUAACCCUAGCCGCCGCCCUCCUCGUGGUUGCCGCUGUCGUCGUUGUCGUCGUUGUCACCGUUGGUGGCGGUGCCAUCGCCACCUUCCACCGCUGCCCACCGCCGGAUCUGGGCGGGAGAGGGGCGCCGCCUCUAGACCCGGCCGGGCGGGCGAGGGGCGCCGCUGCCGGUCACGGCCGCACGCAAGGACGCGCUAGCUGCCGCCGCCCGCCGCCGCUCCCGGCCGUCGCCAGCCGCCUCGCGCCUGUUGCCCCGCGCCUGUGGAGAAAGAGACGAGAGAGAGAGAUAAGAAAUAGGAUAAGGACAAGUAGGUGGAGAGGAUAAGAUAGAAAUUUUUGAAGUAGUUGAGAGGAAAAAAUACCUGAGGAGGGAGGGGAUUUUCGCGUGCGGUACUCUUAAGAUGCUCGGGUCUUCACGUAAAAAUUGGCUUAUUUUUUGCGUGCGGACCUCUUAAGGAAUCUUAAGGAUCCGCACCUAAAAAUAGGAGGACGAUUUUUCCAAACUCGGUCAGUUAUGGACCAUCCGGAAUCUGACGAGGAGUUCGUCCAGGAAAAUCGUUUUUAUAUUUGUGAAAUGCAGACUUGUCUUGUCGGAGCAACAUCUGCUUAUUGGACUGGAGAAUUUAAGGAAGUAACUUUCGUCAUUGUCACUAUCACCUUCUCAAACGCCGUAACUUGGUUGAGUUUAUGUUUUGGAUCAAAGUUGUCAAACUGUAGCACAUCGGAGAGAAGAAAAUUCAGCGAAUGAGUUCUGUGGCUAGGCUUCUGCAAUUCAAAUAGAUAAGGAUAACAUUGAUGUAAACUCUAGAGUAGAGGUACAACAUCCGACAUGAAGGGGUAGCAUCACAUACCUUGCGCAGAGCAAUUUCUAACCUUUUUUUUUAUUUCCCGUUGCAACGGACAACUGUGUCUCGCUUACUUGGCCUCUGUUUCUAAAUAAUAUUUGACGCCGUUGACUUUUUUAAAUAUAUAAUUAUUAAUUUUUUUUCUAUCAUUUGAUUCAUUGUUAAAUAUACUUAUAUGUAUAUAUAUAGUUUUACAUAUAUUUUACAAAAGUUUUUAAAUAAGGUGAACAGUUAAACAUGUGUUAAAAGGUCAACGGUGUCAAAUACUCCGACCACGACAUAUAAAAAGUUAAACGGUGUCAAACACAUGUUAAAAAGUUAAACAUGUGUUAAACAUGUGUCAAAUACGUAUUUAGAAACGGAGGGAGUAGUACGUAGGAUCUUAUAUAACUGUCUCUCUUGCUCUCGUCGAGAAGGGAAGGAUGGUGUCCGACCACGACGACGGCAAGCUGCCGGCGCAGUGGAAGAAGGUGUGCGUCGUCGGCGGCGGGAUGGCGGGGCUGGCGGCGGCGCGCGAGCUGCGGCGAGAGGGCCUCGACGUGACGGUGCUCGAGCAGCGCGGCGGCGUCGGCGGGCAGUGGCUGUACGACGCGGCGACCGACGCCGGCGACCCGCUCGGCAUGGCCGGCGUGCACAGCAGCGUGUUCGCCUCGCUCCGUCUCAAUAGCCCGAGGGAGUCCAUAGGCUUCUCCGACUUCCCGUUCCGCCCCACCAACGACGCCGGCGGCGACGCGCGGCGGUACCCCGUCCACGGCGAGCUCCUCAGGUACAUCAGGGACUUCUGCGACGCGUUCGGCCUCAUGGACGCCGUCAGGCUCAACACCACGGUCACGCGCGUCGCCAUGGCGCCGCCGCGGCGCGACGGCUCGCUGCGGUGGGCGGUGAGGAGCAGGCGCCACGGCGAGGCGGAGACGGAGGAGGUGUUCGACGCCGUCGUGGUGGCCAUCGGGCACUACUCGCAGCCAAGGCUCCCGACCGUCGACGGGAUGGAUAGGUGGAGGAGGAAACAGCUCCAUUCCCACUCGUACCGCGUCCCGGACUCCUUCGCCGGCGAGGUCGUCGUCAUCGUUGGGUGCAGCGUGAGCGGCGCAGAGCUCGCGCUUGAGCUCCGCCGCGUCGCCAAGGAGGUCCACCUCAGCACCAAGUCGACGGAGGAGACCAUCACGUCGGCGAUGUCCAAAAGUGUCGCCAGGUACGAAAACCUCCACCUGAGACCACAGGUCGAACACCUGCGCGAGGACGGGACUGUGGUGUUCGACGACGGCUCGUUCGUCGUCGCCGACGCCAUCAUCUACUGCACCGGGUACAACUACUCGUUCCCGUUCCUGGACACGAACGGGAAGGUCACCGUCGACGACAACCGCGUCGGGCCGCUG
This 8842-nucleotide long non-coding RNA is filed under the name Oryza sativa (Asian cultivated rice). Its description in RNAcentral is "long non-coding RNA (OSAT_LNC001263)". The record is from RNAcentral. Lineage: Eukaryota; Viridiplantae; Streptophyta; Magnoliopsida; Poales; Poaceae.